AUACGUAGGGGGCGAGCGUUGUCCGGAAUGAUUGGGCGUAAAGGGCGCGUAGGCGGCCUGUUAAGUCUGGAGUGAAAGUCCUGUUUUCAAGAUGGGAAUUGCUUUGGAUACUGAUGGGCUUGAGUGCGGAGAGGUUAUCGGUAUUCCUGGUGUAGCGGUGAAAUGCGUAGAGAUCGGGAGGGACACCAGUGCCGUAGGCGGGUAACCGGACUGCAACUGACGCUGAGGCGCGAAAGUGUGGGGAGCAAACAGGAUUAGAUACCCUGGUAGUCCACACUGUAAACGAUGAAUACUAGGUGUGGGGGGACUGACCCCCUCCGUGCCGCAGUUAACACAAUAAGGAUUCCCCCUGGGGAGUACGAUCGCAAGAUUGAAACUCAAAGGAAUUGACGGGG
This 395-nucleotide ribosomal RNA is filed under the name uncultured bacterium. RNAcentral's name for it is "partial 16S ribosomal RNA". It matches the Rfam family "Bacterial small subunit ribosomal RNA", at positions 523 to 918 of the family's 1533-position model. The record is from RNAcentral.